UACGUAGGGUGCAAGCGUUGUCCGGAAUUAUUGGGCGUAAAGGGCUCGUAGGCGGUCCAUCGCGUCGGGAGUGAAAAGCUGGGGCUCAACCCCAGUCCUGCUUCCGAUACGGGUGGACUAGAGGUAUGCAGGGGAGAACGGAAUUCCUGGUGUAGCGGUGAAAUGCGCAGAUAUCGGGAGGAACACCAGUGGCGAAGGCGACUUCCUGGCCUGUUCUUGACGCUGAGGCGCGAAAGCUAGGGGAGCAAACGGG
Molecule: ribosomal RNA, 253 nt
Filed under: uncultured bacterium
Lineage: Bacteria
Description: partial 16S ribosomal RNA
Rfam family: Bacterial small subunit ribosomal RNA
Source: RNAcentral